This is a long non-coding RNA of Armigeres subalbatus, 862 nucleotides long. RefSeq lists it as uncharacterized. The transcript is spliced from 3 exons. NCBI's taxonomy places the organism in Eukaryota, Metazoa, Arthropoda, Insecta, Diptera, Culicidae. The record is from RefSeq and is a predicted model, not a curated record.
GUUGAUGAGAAUCGUCGUUGAUCAAGUCGUGCAAUUACUUCGGUAAUUUCACGUACUUCCGGUCACGAAGCAAUAAGUCCUCACUUAUUCUGAGGGCUUCAAGAACUUCUACUCGUCCAUUCUGACCUGGACCGUGGAAGAGGCGAGAGUGCGUGAAAAUCUUUUAGUGUCGCGGUGUGUUUUAUCUGUUAUUGACCUUUGUCAAAGGUUACGUGCGGUCAAAUUGUGUGUGCGAUUCAGUAAAAGAGAAGCCGUUCGACGGCUUUUUAUUUAGGAUUCGCUUCUAGCGAUCCACGGCCCAUACUCGGCACACCGCAUCCACAAGCCAAACGCAACUCUCGACCCCACGCUUCAGUGCACAGAAGUCCCGGUUUGAGGGGAAAGCCGGAAGGGAACCAUCGUUCCGACAGAGUGGCCAUCGAAAGCCUUUUUUCUUCGCUACGACCCGUAGCGCGACAGCAUCAAGCCUUCGACGAUCCCCAUCGUCGUCAUCUGCGCCAUCUUUUGUCGGUGCGCGCGUCUCAGUACCAGUUCGGGACCAUCCACCGUCUGGGAAUUUCCGUUGCGCAGCAGUCCAUCGUUUUGGACCAAUCGUCGCCGUAGUCUACGAGAGAACUCCGCCAUCGUCGCAUUUGGCACGGUUGCCGCAAUACAUCGCCUCCAUCGACGGCCCGCCGGUAAAAUUCUGCUUUACCAUCAGCUUUCGUCCGCUGCCGGACAAAGGGUACCGUGAGUACAAAGCCAAACAAAUAACAAUACGCAUGCGUUAAACUCCACACACUAAUCCCGAGCUCGAAGAUCGACGAUGGUCGAUAGUAGAAGUUAGACGUCGAUAGAAGCCAGAAAUCCGCACACACACAGU